Molecule: small RNA, 28 nt
Filed under: Bombyx mori (domestic silkworm)
Lineage: Eukaryota; Metazoa; Arthropoda; Insecta; Lepidoptera; Bombycidae
Description: ovarian small RNA-37081
Source: RNAcentral
UUCAUUCAUGUUAACGAGCUUGGGUAAC